Molecule: long non-coding RNA, 1203 nt
Organism: Vigna unguiculata (cowpea)
Lineage: Eukaryota; Viridiplantae; Streptophyta; Magnoliopsida; Fabales; Fabaceae
Source: RefSeq, a predicted model, not a curated record
UUAAGUUGCAUGAAGCAACCACCCUUUCCACUUCUCGCACGGCUCAAGAAAUACAGGGGAUUAGAGACUUUAAGUUGGAUUUUUUAUUUGCCUCUGCCUGAGGAAUUCAUAAUGAACCACAUAGAUGGAGGGGAAUCAAAUUGAAAAACAAAUACAGGGGAAACGUUACUACAAAAGAGAGUCCAAAUACACAUCUUAAAAAGAAAAAAAAAGGAGAGAAAGCAAAUAUACAGGAGAGAAGGAGAGCAAUAGAAAUCAGUGACAACAAUGAGAAGGAACUGCUUACUGCCAGAUGCAUUGGAGAGGAUCUAUAAGAGCUUAUUCAUGAAUACCUCCAUUAUCCAUCCCCAUCAAAAAUCCAUCACCCGUUAACCUUUCACCAUACUCACUUCCACCAACACGCAAUUCACACAUAAAUAAGCCAAAAUCCAUCUCGGCUUUCAUAUUUAAUCACAUAUUCGCACCUUCAUCCAACACCAAUUUUUUCUUCCCCAUUCUUCCAUCACCUUCAACCUACAAUCAGAAAGCAGAGAGUCGGCGAGUCAAAGCUCGAAUAGGCUGAAUGAUGAUGGUCUCCGAAUGGCAGGGUCGCGCAGUCGUGAGUGGAAUGGUGCUCGCGCAGAAGCUAUUCUAUGUCACACCUGAGAUGAAGGAGCACGAAGAACGAGCACCCUUGGGUUCUCGUCGACAUCUCUGACAUCGGUUGGCAUUGCUGGCAAGCCAAUCGCGGGAUGGCACGGUGAAACAGAGACAAAGGUGGUGUUUUGGUGGACAAUGACGAGAGAGAAAGUCUAGCGGAAGAAGAAGAUGGAAGAUGAGUCGUCGCCGGAGAGUCGCCGGUAAUGGCCUCUGGUCAAGCAGGACGAAGCGACAGCGAGCAGGCCUCUGUUGGAAUGGCUUUCGUUUCAGAGAAAUGAAAAUUAGGGUUUUCUUUUUGUUUGUUAAAGGGAAGAUGGGCUGACCAAACUUUCUGCACCUUGCACCCCCAUAAUUCUUCUUGCACCCCUCUAUUUAUUUUUUGUGUUGUUUCCAUUUCGUUUGUGCACCCCCUGGAUGUUAUUCCCACUCCCCUUGCUCUGUAUUUUUGUUUUGGGUUUUAUUGCUUGCAAACACCACUACUCUUCCCUGACUACUUCCUACACCACCAUGUUUACUGACCCCACUCCCUUUGCAUAUUUUAUUGUCACUUUUGGGCUUGUUUUA